AGUCGAACGAGCCCUUCGGGGUUAGUGGCGCACGGGUGCGUAACGCGUGGGAAUCUGCCCUUGGGUUCGGAAUAACUCGCCGAAAGGCGUGCUAAUACCGGAUGAUGUCGAAAGACCAAAGAUUUAUCGCCCAAGGAUGAGCCCGCGUAAGAUUAGGUAGUUGGUGAGGUAAAGGCUCACCAAGCCGACGAUCUUUAGCUGGUCUGAGAGGAUGAUCAGCCACACUGGGACUGAGACACGGCCCAGACUCCUACGGGAGGCAGCAGUGGGGAAUAUUGGACAAUGGGCGAAAGCCUGAUCCAGCAAUGCCGCGUGAGUGAUGAAGGCCUUAGGGUUGUAAAGCUCUUUUACCCGGGAUGAUAAUGACAGUACCGGGAGAAUAAGCUCCGGCUAACUCCGUGCCAGCCGCCGCGGUAA
RNAcentral lists this ribosomal RNA (417 nucleotides) under Sphingomonas sp. SA_01. RNAcentral describes it as "bacterial SSU rRNA". It matches the Rfam family "Bacterial small subunit ribosomal RNA", at positions 60 to 523 of the family's 1533-position model. The record is from RNAcentral. Lineage: Bacteria; Pseudomonadati; Pseudomonadota; Alphaproteobacteria; Sphingomonadales; Sphingomonadaceae.